This 2589-nucleotide ribosomal RNA is filed under the name Triticum aestivum (bread wheat). RNAcentral describes it as "partial small subunit ribosomal RNA". Lineage: Eukaryota; Viridiplantae; Streptophyta; Magnoliopsida; Poales; Poaceae. The record is from RNAcentral.
CUCCCAGCCUCGAACCCCGCGUCGCCGCGACCUCCAUCCCCCCCGCGGUCCGCCUCAUCUCCUCUCCCUCUAAUCUCGUCGCGCCGCCGCCUUUUCCUCUCUCCAUCCCCGUCCCUGCCACGAGCCCCUCCCCUUCCCCGUCCCGACGGCCUCAUCCUCUGCUGCUCUCCUUGUUGGGUGUUGCUCCAGAUCGCGGGAGACGAUCUGCAGCCGGGUCUGCGCAGUUGAGGUGAGGAACGGAAGUGGGGGAAGGAGUAGCGAUGCUGGUGUCAGGGGACGGAGGUGAGGGAAGGAGCAGCAAGGGGCCACCUCAUGCCCCGUAGUCCGCUCCUCCUUGUCAGCGCCAUCGCAACUCCAGCAACGACAGUUCAUCUCCAUGGACUUUAUUCCUUGCACUCUUGAGUCUUUUGAGAAGGAGAAAAUUAUUGUUGGGAGGCAAAAAGACUGAUGAUGAGUUCCUGAAACAGAGUGCAACAGUGAAGAACAAGAGGCCUUUUUUAUUGAUGAGUCGGUCGAAUAGACUGUAGAUGAUUGCCAAAAAGUGGUUAUCGAAGGAUUGGAGUCAAGCUUAGGAUCAGUCUAUCCUAUGGGCCUAUACUACAAUGUUUAUUUGGCUUGUUAGAAUACAUGUAGAAUGAGGUAUUUCUCUCGUUACUUAUUUUGCUAUAGAACCCUGUUGGUUGCAUUCUUGGGUGCUUCGGCAAGCAGCAAUUGCACAAGUUGAUUGUGGUUACUACUUUUGAUUAUAAUUUGCAAGCAGUCCUGUGAGGCCAUUGUGGCAUGUGCUUAGACUUCUAUUGAUGUGUAGUGCAUCAACCGACAUAGGAGAAAUCAGGUUCAUAGAUGGGUGCUUUAUGCUGGGGUGAAAGAGUUUUAGGCCGUUGAUUUCCCAAUGAAGGAGCUUCGAGACAAGCGCUGCAAUUAUGUAGUUUUGUAUAUGACAUAAUCUGUACGAACCCUCUCCUUGUUUCUUUUUGCUCUUGGUUUUGCCCCUGUUGAUUAAUGAUGCUACCAAUUAUUCUAGCUAUUUUCAUUGUACCAUGUGCCUAUGAGAUCUGCACAGACAGAAUUCGUGCUGAUUUAUUUAGUGGUGGCACAUAUGACAGCUACAACAGCCUGGUAAUUAGUCCUCAAAUAAGGUAGUUUCCCUCUUCCCUUUACAUAUCAUGGAUAUAUGUGGUGGUUCCUUGCCAUUGCUGAAGGGAGGACUCUAAAUGUAUUUUUGUGUUAUCCCUGAUUAUGUUAAUCAGGCCGUGUAUGUUCUGUUGGUCUAUUUUGAAUUUUCGUUUGUCAACUUUUACAGAAUUUCAAAGAUGUAAUUUUCUCUCAUGUAGUAGCCUCAUUUUUCAUAUAUAUACAAUAGUCUAUUUUCCUUUCUGCAAAUUAGACCAAUAGUCUAUUUUAGUCAACUUAAGGGUAUGUUGAAUAUGACAAUUAAUGAAGAUGGCCAUUCUUGCUGUCGAAAGUACAGAAUCUGACUCAUUUUAAAGUAGUACGUUCUCUUUAUGACAAGACUAAGCUUCUAAUUUAGCAAGUGUUUUACUUCAACACAAAUUGCUGCAGGAAAGAAAGCAUUUUUUUGCAACAAAGCAAGCAUUAAACGAGCUGAAGUGUCUGGAGCAGAAGAGCUUGAAUUUUUUGCAAACGUAAAUUUAAGUACAUUCUCUGCCUUCAUUCACGUAUGUUGCUGACAAGGAUCGGAAAUCUCUGUUCCCCUCGAGGACUGAAAAUUGUCGAAACAGUCAAUUAUAUGGUGUUGAAUUAUUGAAUACUACCAAUUUAUUUGUUAAUGGCCAGUAGAAAAAGGAAGGCAACUUAUUUUUCAAAACUGAUGAGCAAUGAGUGCACUCUACAAGAUUUUCAUGGCAACAAACAUGAUAGACAUCUUGGAUCGGGCCCUUCUUAGACGGACAGACUCAUGAUAAGGUGCAUUAAUUAUGGAUGCCGUGCAAUCAGCAGCCUAAUACAAGGAGGACCCCAUGAAGCAAAGGGGAGAGGACAAUGAUAUGCUCACAUGGGAUCCCUUUCCUUCAGUGUAUUAAACGACAGCUGCUAAUCUCAUGUGGAGGACGCGCAGGGGCGGGCGGUGAGCGAAUUGAAUCUGGGAAUUCACCCAGGGAAGCAACAUAUAAUCUUUUGAUCUUUGUCUUGCCUCCAGUGCAAGUUCAGUUUGUCCAGCAGUGCUCUUGACAAAUUUCUAGAAUGAAGAAUGAAAUACUUGGAGAUAGGCUACCAAUUCGCGUAUCACAUAUAGUAGCAGAGACUCAGCAUGGGGGUCUGCCGCUUGAAGAGAUGCAAAUGUUGCAACUUCACCAGAGGUUCUAUGUUGGAGUUCUGUGUGUCGGUGGUUCAAGUUCACAAGGAUUGGCACCAUGGACUGGAGAAUCGUCGCAACCAUCAUGGACACACCAGGGGCAGGGGCUGCAUGCAGCCAAGUCCGAGGCGGCUGCCAAGAAGACUGGGCUCGAUGUAGUGACCGAGGAGGCGCAUGCCGCAGGAGAAGCCGAUUAUUCUGUUUGCACGACGGGUAUCCAAAAUUCUAAUUCAGACAUUAGUGAUGAUAUAACAAUGCCGUCCGCCAAAUUGUGA